Molecule: ribosomal RNA, 529 nt
Filed under: uncultured bacterium
Lineage: Bacteria
Description: bacterial SSU rRNA
Rfam family: Bacterial small subunit ribosomal RNA
Source: RNAcentral
AAUAGAUACCCCGGUAGUCCAUGCCGUAAACGUUGGGAACUAGAUGUAGGGCCUGUUCCACGGGUUCUGUGUCGUAGCUAACGCAUUAAGUUCCCCGCCUGGGGAGUACGGCCGCAAGGCUAAAACUCAAAGGAAUUGACGGGGGCCCGCACAAGCGGCGGAGCAUGCGGAUUAAUUCGAUGCAACGCGAAGAACCUUACCAAGGCUUGACAUAUAGCAGAACACCGUAGAGAUACGGGACUCUUUGGACACUGUUAUACAGGUGGUGCAUGGUUGUCGUCAGCUCGUGUCGUGAGAUGUUCGGUUAAGUCCGGCAACGAGCGCAACCCUCGUCCUAUGUUGCCAGCACGUGAUGGUGGGAACUCAUGGGAUACUGCCGUGGUCAACACGGAGGAAGGUGGGGAUGACGUCAAAUCAUCAUGCCCCUUAUGUCUUGGGCUUCACGCAUGCUACAAUGGCCGAUACAAUGGGCUGCGAUACCGCGAGGUGGAGCGAAUCCCAAAAAGUCGGUCUCAGUUCGGAUUGGGGU